UUGAACGCUGGCGGCAGGCCUAACACAUGCAAGUCGAACGGUAACAGGAAGCAGCUUGCUGCUUCGCUGACGAGUGGCGGACGGGUGAGUAAUGUCUGGGAAACUGCCUGAUGGAGGGGGAUAACUACUGGAAACGGUAGCUAAUACCGCAUAACGUCGCAAGACCAAAGAGGGGGACCUUAGGGCCUCUUGCCAUCGGAUGUGCCCAGAUGGGAUUAGCUAGUAGGUGGGGUAACGGCUCACCUAGGCGACGAUCCCUAGCUGGUCUGAGAGGAUGACCAGCCACACUGGAACUGAGACACGGUCCAGACUCCUACGGGAGGCAGCAGUGGGGAAUAUUGCACAAUGGGCGCAAGCCUGAUGCAGCCAUGCCGCGUGUAUGAAGAAGGCCUUCGGGUUGUAAAGUACUUUCAGCGGGGAGGAAGGGAGUAAAGUUAGUACCUUUGCUCAUUGACGUUACCCGCAGAAGAAGCACCGGCUAACUCCGUG
RNAcentral lists this ribosomal RNA (489 nucleotides) under uncultured bacterium. RNAcentral's name for it is "partial 16S ribosomal RNA". It matches the Rfam family "Bacterial small subunit ribosomal RNA", at positions 30 to 507 of the family's 1533-position model. The record is from RNAcentral.